GUGGGGAAUCUUGCGCAAUGGGCGAAAGCCUGACGCAGCCAUGCCGCGUGAAUGAUGAAGGUCUUAGGAUUGUAAAAUUCUUUCACCGGGGACGAUAAUGACGGUACCCGGAGAAGAAGCUCCGGCUAACUUCGUGCCAGCAGCCGCGGUAAUACGAAGGGGGCUAGCGUUUCUCGGAAUUACUGGGCUUAAAGGGCGCGUAGGCGGACAGCUUAGUCAGAGGUGAAAGCCCAGUGCUCAACCUUGGAAUUGCCUUUGAUACUGGCUGUCUUGAGUUUGGGAGAGGUGAGUGGAACUCCGAGUGGAGAGGUGAAAUUCGUAGAUAUUCGGAAGAACACCAGUGGCGAAGGCGACUCACUGGCCCAAUACUGACGCUGAGGCGCGAAAGCGUGGGGAGCAAACAGGAUUAGAAACCCUAGUAGUCC
This 425-nucleotide ribosomal RNA is filed under the name uncultured bacterium. Its description in RNAcentral is "partial 16S ribosomal RNA". It matches the Rfam family "Bacterial small subunit ribosomal RNA", at positions 354 to 796 of the family's 1533-position model. The record is from RNAcentral.